GACGAACGCUGGCGGCGUGCUUAACACAUGCAAGUCGAACGGAAAGGCCUGCUUUCCCUUGUGGAUUGCGGGUACUCGAGUGGCGAACGGGUGAGUAACACGUGAGUGAUCUGCCCCCAACUUGGGUAUAAGCCUGGGAAACUGGGUCUAAAUCCCGAUAGGACUGCAGGGUGGUGCCUGUGGUGGAAAACGAUUUUCUAGUGGUUGGGGAUGAGCUCGCGGCCUAUCAGCUUGUUGGUGGGGUAAUGGCCUACCAAGGCGGCGACGGGUAGCCGGCCUGGGAGGGUGGCCGGCAACUUUGGGACUGGGAUACGGCCCAGACUCUAACGGAGGCAGCAGUGGGGAAUAUUGCACAAUGGGCGGAAGCCUGAUGCAGCGACGCCGCGUGGGGGAUGACGGCCUUCGGGUUGUAAACUCCUUUCGACCGCGAGGAAGCCACCUGGUUGGAAGGGUGGUGACGGUAGUGGUAGAAGAAGCACCGGCUAACUACGUG
RNAcentral lists this ribosomal RNA (493 nucleotides) under uncultured bacterium. RNAcentral's name for it is "partial 16S ribosomal RNA". It matches the Rfam family "Bacterial small subunit ribosomal RNA", at positions 28 to 507 of the family's 1533-position model. The record is from RNAcentral.